This 252-nucleotide ribosomal RNA is filed under the name uncultured bacterium. RNAcentral's name for it is "partial 16S ribosomal RNA". It matches the Rfam family "Bacterial small subunit ribosomal RNA", at positions 524 to 775 of the family's 1533-position model. The record is from RNAcentral.
UACAGAGGUCUCAAGCGUUGUUCGGAUUCAUUGGGCGUAAAGGGUGCGUAGGUGGGCAGGUAAGUCAGUGGUGAAAUCUCCGGGCUUAACCCGGAAACUGCCGUUGAUACUAUCUGUCUUGAAUGUAGUGGAGGUGAGCGGAAUAUGUCAUGUAGCGGUGAAAUGCUUAGAGAUGACAUAGAACACCAAUUGCGAAGGCAGCUUGCUACACUACGAUUGACACUGAGGCACGAAAGCGUGGGGAUCAAACAG